RNAcentral lists this ribosomal RNA (448 nucleotides) under uncultured bacterium. RNAcentral's name for it is "SSU rRNA". It matches the Rfam family "Bacterial small subunit ribosomal RNA", at positions 26 to 518 of the family's 1533-position model. The record is from RNAcentral.
AGAGCGAACGCUGGCGGCAUGCUUAACACAUGCAAGUCGCACGGGCACUUCGGUGUCAGUGGCGGACGGGUGAGUAACGCGUAGGUAUCUAUCCUUGGGUGGGGGACAACGGUUGGAAACGACUGCUAAUACCGCAUAAUAACUGAGGUUUAAAGGCGCAAGUCGCCUGAGGAGGAGCCUGCGUACGAUUAGCUAGUUGGUGGGGUAAAGGCCUACCAAGGCGACGAUCGUUAGCUGGUCUGAGAGGAUGAUCAGCCACAUUGGGACUGAGACACGGCCCAAACUCCUACGGGAGGCAGCAGUGGGAAUAUUGGACAAGUGGGCGAAAGCCUGAUCCAGCAAUGCCGCGUGUGUGAAGAAGGUCUUCGGAUUGUAAAGCACUUUCGACAGGGACGAUGAUGACGGUACCUGUAGAAGACGCCCGGCUAACUUCGCGCCAGCAGCCGAC